RNAcentral lists this ribosomal RNA (495 nucleotides) under uncultured bacterium. RNAcentral's name for it is "partial 16S ribosomal RNA". It matches the Rfam family "Bacterial small subunit ribosomal RNA", at positions 28 to 507 of the family's 1533-position model. The record is from RNAcentral.
GACGAACGCUGGCGGCGUGCCUAAUACAUGCAAGUAGAACGCUGAAGGAGGAGCUUGCUCUUCUGGAUGAGUUGCGAACGGGUGAGUAACGCGUAGGUAACCUGCCUGGUAGCGGGGGAUAACUAUUGGAAACGAUAGCUAAUACCGCAUAACAGUAGAUGUUGCAUGACAUUUGCUUAAAAGGUGCAAUUGCAUCACUACCAGAUGGACCUGCGUUGUAUUAGCUAGUUGGUGGGGUAACGGCUCACCAAGGCGACGAUACAUAGCCGACCUGAGAGGGUGAUCGGCCACACUGGGACUGAGACACGGCCCAGACUCCUACGGGAGGCAGCAGUAGGGAAUCUUCGGCAAUGGACGGAAGUCUGACCGAGAAACGCCGCGUGAGUGAAGAAGGUUUUCGGAUCGUAAAGCUCUGUUGUAAGAGAAGAAAGAGUGUGAGAGUGGAAAGUUCACACUGUGACGGUAUCUUACCAGAAAGGGACGGCUAACUACGUG